RNAcentral lists this ribosomal RNA (440 nucleotides) under uncultured bacterium. RNAcentral's name for it is "bacterial SSU rRNA". It matches the Rfam family "Bacterial small subunit ribosomal RNA", at positions 958 to 1398 of the family's 1533-position model. The record is from RNAcentral.
AACGCGAAGAACCUUACCUACCUUUGAAUCCACGGAAUUUCACAGAGAUGUGGAAGUGCCUUCGGGAACCGUGAGACAGGUGCUGCAUGGCUGUCGUCAGCUCGUGUCGUGAGAUGUUGGGUUAAGUCCCGUAACGAGCGCAACCCUUGUCCUUAGUUACCAUCAAGUAAAGUUGGGUACUUUAAGGAGACUGCCGGUGAUAAACCGGAGGAAGGUGGGGAUGACGUCAAGUCCUCAUGGCCCUUACAGGUAGGGCUACACACGUGCUACAAUGGCCGGUACAAAGGGUUGCCAACCCGCGAGGGGGAGCUAAUCUCAAAAAGCCGGUCGUAGUCCGGAUUGGAGUCUGCAACUCGACUCCAUGAAGCUGGAAUCGCUAGUAAUCGCGGAUCAGAACGCCGCGGUGAAUACGUUCCCGGGCCUUGUACACACCGACGCAC